AUACGGAGGGUGCAAGCGUUGUUCGGAAUCACUGGGCGUAAAGGGCGCGCAGGCGGUUUGGUAAGUCAGAUGUGAAAGCCCACGGCUCAACCGUGGAAGUGCAUUUGAAACUGUCAGACUUGAGUACUCGAGGGGAAAGUGGAAUUCCCGGUGUAGAGGCGAAAUUCGUAGAUAUCGGGAGGAAUACCGGUGGCGAAGGCGACUUUCUGGCUAGAUACUGACGCUGAGGCGCGAAAGCGUGGGGAGCAAACAGAAUUAGAUACCCUAGUAGUCC
Molecule: ribosomal RNA, 274 nt
Filed under: uncultured bacterium
Lineage: Bacteria
Description: partial 16S ribosomal RNA
Rfam family: Bacterial small subunit ribosomal RNA
Source: RNAcentral